GUCUAUGGCCAUGCUACCCUGAACAAGCCCGAUCCCAUCUGAUCUCGGAAGCUAAGCAAGAUUGGGCCUGGUUAGUACUUACAUGGGAGACCACCUAAGAAGACCAGGUGGUGUAGGUG
This 119-nucleotide ribosomal RNA is filed under the name Pteropus alecto (black flying fox). The record is from RNAcentral. Lineage: Eukaryota; Metazoa; Chordata; Mammalia; Chiroptera; Pteropodidae.